AGUGAACGCUGGCGGUAUGCCUAACACAUGCAAGUCGAACGGCAGCACAGUAAGAGCUUGCUCUUACGUGUGUCGAGUGGCGGACGGUUGAGGUAUACAUCGGAAUCUACUUUUUCGUGGGUGAUAACGUCGGGAAACGUACGCUAAUACCGCAUACGUCCUACGUGUGAAAGCAGGGGAUCUUCUGACCUUUCGCUAGUGAAUGAGCCUAUGUCGGAUUAGCUAGUUGGCGGGGUAAAGGCCCACCAAGGCGACGAUCCGUAGCUGGUCUGACAGGAUGAUUCGACAGCCUGUCACUGAGACAGGGCCCAGACUCCUACGGGAGGACGCGGUGCGGAAUAUUGGACGAUGGGGGAAAGCGUGAUACAGCAAUACCGCGUGGGUGAAGAAGGCCUUAGGGUUGUAAAGCCAUUUUGUUGGGAAAGAAAAGCAGCAGGUUAAUACCCCGCUGUUAUGACGGUACCCAAAGAAUAAGCACCGGCUAACUUCGUG
This 492-nucleotide ribosomal RNA is filed under the name uncultured bacterium. RNAcentral's name for it is "partial 16S ribosomal RNA". It matches the Rfam family "Bacterial small subunit ribosomal RNA", at positions 29 to 507 of the family's 1533-position model. The record is from RNAcentral.